UCUUCCUUCCCAUUUUUCUUUAUUUCCGUUUCUCUUUUCUUCUACAGAACCUGCGUUCUCUUCUUUCUUUCUUCCACUUAUUUUGAUCACUUUCAUUUUCUUUUUCUCCUACAGCUCUAACGCUCUUCUUCCUCACAUAAUCACCUUCUCUUUAUUUUUUUUCAUUCAUUUCCUCCUUAUUUUCCAAGAGAGGCCGAGAGCAAAGGGAGGAAGAGGAUUCAAGCACCGUUUCUUCGUUUCUUGACCGAUCGUCGCACUGACAGUCGCUACGCGUAGACCUCGAGGUUCGUUUAUGGAGACCUUGGGCUUCACUGAGCAAGCUUGUGAGCGUGACUUACACCGUGAUUCUGGAGGAACUAGAGUCGGCCAGCUGCCAGACGUUCGACAACUGGUUUGUGAUGAUUCGUCACUCGGGGAGGACCAGGAGCGUAAUGACCAUUACUGAAGUUUCGACGAGGACUCGGACUGAAUGCAAGACCAGAUGAGGAUCGAUGAUGGAAGUAUAGGGUAUGGGUGUUUAGAGCCUACUAAGGUUGGGUGUUAGUGUCAUAGCUCUGAUUUUCAUUUCUUAUUUUGGGGCAGGGUAGGUCCCCGACUAUUAGCUUUUUGUGUGGUACUCUUCCAUGAGGAUCACAGGGAGUUUAUCGGACGUAGGAGGUCCUUUGGAGGCCAUUUGGGGCUGACUUACUUUCUUGGAGGACUGUAUUUAUAAAACUUAUGACUCUGGAAAUGGGUCGCACUUGUUUGCCUGCGGGCACCACUUUCAGUUACUUGAUGUUACUUUCCGUCACUUGAGGACACUCGUGACGAUGAUUUUGGGUUGCAGCGAGGGUUGUGCUUUUAUUGUAUAUUAGUCGUUGUUAA
Lotus japonicus is the source of this 864-nucleotide long non-coding RNA. RefSeq lists it as uncharacterized. The record is from RefSeq and is a predicted model, not a curated record. NCBI's taxonomy places the organism in Eukaryota, Viridiplantae, Streptophyta, Magnoliopsida, Fabales, Fabaceae. The transcript is spliced from 3 exons.